UGGACAUCUAUUGGCCAAUUCGUGCAAGACAGUGUGCGUUAUGAGCUCGAUAGGCAACUCGAUAUAACGCAACGAAGAGCCGAAUCUCACACUAAAUAAUAUUUUUAUUAAACACGCGUUGACAUAGCUUGACGGAAAACGCAGUCACCUGAUAAGAGACAGCAGGAAGUCCAGUGAUGUGACGUGGAGUCCCGAUAUUUCCGGUCUUAGGGAUACGCUGUACCACAGGGACGUGUUAUACGCAAUAGUGCGCCACUUUCUACACACUCUAGACAUACUACAUAUUUCUUUGUGGCUCAGAUACGAAAAUAUGUUCAACAAAACUUUAUCUGGCAGUUUUUCGAUCGUCUAUAUGGAAAAUAAAAUAAAUCACAAAAACAUGUUUAUGGGUACCUGUAUAAAAUGUAUAAAGAGACAAACAAACGCAGUUUCGUGAUUUCAGCUUAUUUUAGAGAUAUAAAUCCGAGUAAAAUAAGAAAACUGGAAAAUUGGAAAGUAUACCUGAUAAGGAUAAUAUCCCGUUUAGCCACAUAUAAUGAAAGCUUUCACUAACGAACAACAAAGCGCCUGACACAAGUCACAAAAUGGCAACUACACAUACAAACAAGUAAAUAUUAUGCAUGAAACAUGCAUCAUCGUAUAAUAUUAUAAUGCUUGUAAAUGUCAUGUAUAAUGUACACAAAUAUUACUCUGUGGCUAGAACGUAUCGAUAUUGGAAUAUCGUAAUCAAUAUACCUACUCGCGAUAUCACCUAUUUACUAUAGAUUCUUUGGAACUAAGCCAUUUUCAAACACAAAAACUUCAACCAUGGCAUUUUUUCAUGCGUAUUAAGUAGUUUACAUCUACGAUGUACCCAUAUUGAAAUAUAUUAAUAUAGUAAUGCGCUUGGCUGUUAACGAUUACAAUGUAUUAUGUAUUUUUCAAAUGAUGUAAACAAUUAUUUAAAAAUAUAUUGAGUAAAAAUGUAUGGUGAAUUUUUUAAGUGAUAUAAUUAUUAUGAUAUAAAUAAUUAAUAUAUUUUGAUCUAAUAUUACUUUUAUGAAUAAUUCAUUUUCAAUAUAAUAAUAUUUAUUUUUAUGCAUUGUAAUAAUUUUGAAUACUGACAUGCAAAAUAAAUUUUAAAUAAUUUA
Long non-coding RNA from Aphis gossypii (cotton aphid), 1130 nucleotides. RefSeq lists it as uncharacterized. Lineage: Eukaryota; Metazoa; Arthropoda; Insecta; Hemiptera; Aphididae. The transcript is spliced from 6 exons. The record is from RefSeq and is a predicted model, not a curated record.